GGUUGAUCCUGCCAGUAUUAUAUGCUGAUGUUAAAGAUUAAGCCAUGCAUGUGUAAGUUUAAAGACCAAGUAGGAUGAAACUGCGGACGGCUCAUUAUAACAGUAAUAGUUUCUUUGGUUAGUAUUUACAGGGAUAACUUUGUGAAUGAUAAAGCUAAUACUUGAGACGAUCUGGGAAGUAUUUUACUUUUCGGCCCCCGGCCGCGAGGUUGGGGUGGAACGACAUUCUCUUCUGAAAAAGGAUGCCGCGACAAUUGAGGAAAGCGACGCUUUUUACAAGUAACCAAUGGGAA
RNAcentral lists this ribosomal RNA (293 nucleotides) under uncultured eukaryote. Its description in RNAcentral is "partial 18S ribosomal RNA". It matches the Rfam family "Eukaryotic small subunit ribosomal RNA", at positions 6 to 304 of the family's 1831-position model. The record is from RNAcentral.